ACAAGGUAGUCCUCAUGAUCAUACUGGAUAUCUCAAAUGAAAGCAGCAAAAUGCAUACUGCAUCCUGAUACGGAGUUUUGUUUCAGAUCUACAGCCCUGCACCAGGAAAAUAAUAUUCUUUUACUGCCCCUAAAUAAAUUUUUACAAAGAGACAUCUUUGGAAUCUUCAGCUCCUCUGACCUGAAUAGGUAUUUGGAAUUAAUUCUCAGGCUCUGGUCUCUAAUACAGAAGCACUGUCUAGCCAUAUUGCCAGUUGCUACACAUCCUUACUUUUUCCAUAAUGAAAGAAAUGCCAGCUCCCCAGCACUUUGCUUUGACCUACUACGUGUGUACACAGGAGGGCAUGAGAGGAGCACAGAACUGGAGACAGCCCUGUUGAGCCACUGUUCCGAUAACCAGGGUCCUAUUGCCUACCUCACUGGGGGCCCAGUGCAGAAUGGAGAGGACAACUACUUCUUCUCCAAAGAGGAAAACUGGAUGUUGCAUUUCAUUCCUGAGAGGCUCCACUACCAAAUGCCAAAGCCAUGGCCCUAA
RNAcentral lists this long non-coding RNA (534 nucleotides) under Cyanistes caeruleus (blue tit). RNAcentral's name for it is "lncRNA (ENSCCEG00000006853.1)". Lineage: Eukaryota; Metazoa; Chordata; Aves; Passeriformes; Paridae. The record is from RNAcentral.